Molecule: ribosomal RNA, 253 nt
Filed under: uncultured bacterium
Lineage: Bacteria
Description: partial 16S ribosomal RNA
Rfam family: Bacterial small subunit ribosomal RNA
Source: RNAcentral
AGAGUUUGAUCCUGGCUCAGGAUGAACGCUAGCUACAGGCUUAACACAUGCAAGUCGAGGGGCAGCAUGAGCUCAGCUUUGCUGGGGUUUUGAUGGCGGACCGGCGCACGGGUGAGUAACGCGUAUCCAACCUGGCCCUUUACUCCGGGAUAGUCUCCUGAAAGGGAGUUUAAUACCGGAUGUGUUUGUCUUUCCGCAUGGGAGCGUACAAAUAAAGAUUGAUUGGUAAAGGAUGGGGAUGCGUCCCAUUACG